This is a long non-coding RNA of Quercus lobata, 720 nucleotides long. RefSeq lists it as uncharacterized. NCBI's taxonomy places the organism in Eukaryota, Viridiplantae, Streptophyta, Magnoliopsida, Fagales, Fagaceae. The record is from RefSeq and is a predicted model, not a curated record. The transcript has 4 exons.
CGUAUCUCUCUCUAUCGUUCCCCCCACUCCUCUUCUACCUGUGGCUCUGCUACCCUAGACAGAUUCUCUUCUACAAAAAAAACAGAACCGCCGCAUCCAAAAAAAAAAAAACACAGAGCCGCGAAAUGCCGAGACAGAGAUAGCAAUUGGAUUUUGAGGGUCCUUCACCAUUCUCUUUGAUUUUCGGGUUGUGGCCUACUUCCUCUCAAAAGAGAUGAAGUGGAAUACUCUAAUUUCAUCACAGCAAAGCGAAAGACCAAAUCUAUAUAGUUUAGAAGCUGUCUGCAAAUCCCAGCAAUAGCAAAGUGAAAAGGGAAAAGAAAGCUAUGAGUAAUGGACAUAGACAUGAGUUAUUAAAACACUAAACAAUUGUAUCUUUUUGGUGGUUUGCUAUUGGUAAUUCUUUUCUUCACAAUCAAGCUAUUGUUUUCUGUUUUUAAUUUUUAAUUUUUAUAAUAACAAACAUUUAUAACUAAGGCAUUGAAAUAUUUUGUGCACACCAUGUGUUUGAGAAAAUGCCUUGCUUACUCUUGCAUUAGUUUGUAGCCACUUUAUGGUUUGUGCAUCUUGGUUUUAAUUGAUACUGGUUAUUGACUACUUUUUGUUAUGUAUCAAUCAUAAGUUAUGAUGAUACAAACAAUAUUCUGUUUGUACCCAACGAUCGGGAAAAAAUAUGUUUUUCCAAGUCAUUAAAGGAUGAAGAAACUCUUAGAUGUCAGU